Molecule: long non-coding RNA, 101 nt
Organism: Sander lucioperca (pikeperch)
Lineage: Eukaryota; Metazoa; Chordata; Actinopteri; Perciformes; Percidae
Exons: 3
Source: RefSeq, a predicted model, not a curated record
CUGGUGACCUCAACACCACAAGAAUUAGAAGAGAGCGACUAGGCAAGGUGUGAUUUUUGUUUUCUUGUAUUUUGGUUUGUUUUUGUUUUCUUGUUUUCUUG